UGGGGAAUAUUGGACAAUGGGCGAAAGCCUGAUCCAGCCAUGCCGCGUGUGUGAAGAAGGUCUUCGGAUUGUAAAGCACUUUAAGUUGGGAGGAAGGGCAGUAAGCGAAUACCUUGCUGUUUUGACGUUACCGACAGAAUAAGCACCGGCUAACUCUGUGCCAGCAGCCGCGGUAAUACAGAGGGUGCAAGCGUUAAUCGGAAUUACUGGGCGUAAAGCGCGCGUAGGUGGUUCGUUAAGUUGAAUGUGAAAGCCCCGGGCUCAACCUGGGAACUGCAUCCAAAACUGGCGAGCUAGAGUAGGGCAGAGGGUGGUGGAAUUUCCUGUGUAGCGGUGAAAUGCGUAGAUAUAGGAAGGAAAACCAGUGGCGAAGGCGACCACCUGGGCUCAUACUGACACUGAGGUGCGAAAGCGUGGGGAGGAAACAAG
RNAcentral lists this ribosomal RNA (429 nucleotides) under Pseudomonadota bacterium. RNAcentral's name for it is "Proteobacteria bacterium partial 16S ribosomal RNA". It matches the Rfam family "Bacterial small subunit ribosomal RNA", at positions 355 to 776 of the family's 1533-position model. The record is from RNAcentral. Lineage: Bacteria; Pseudomonadati; Pseudomonadota.